CCUACGGGAGGCAGCAGUAGGGAAUAUUGCUCAAUGGGGGAAACCCUGAAGCAGCAACGCCGCGUGGAGGAUGAAGGUUUUCGGAUUGUAAACCCCUUUUGUUAGAGAAGAUAAUGACGGUAUCUAACGAAUAAGCACCGGCUAACUACGUGCCAGCAGCCGCGGUAAUACGGAGGGUGCAAGCGUUACUCGGAAUCACUGGGCGUAAAGAGCGCGUAGGCGGGAGAGCAAGUCAGAUGUGAAAUCCUAGGGCUUAACCAUAGAACUGCAUUUGAAACUGUGAUUCUAGAGUAUGGGAGAGGUAGGUGGAAUUCUUGGUGUAGGGGUAAAAUCCGUAGAGAUCAAGAGGAAUACUCAUGGCGAAGGCGACCUGCUAGAACAUAACUGACGCUGAUGCGCGAAAGCGUGGGGAGCAAACAGGAUUAGAUACCCCAGUAGUC
This 440-nucleotide ribosomal RNA is filed under the name uncultured bacterium. RNAcentral's name for it is "partial 16S ribosomal RNA". It matches the Rfam family "Bacterial small subunit ribosomal RNA", at positions 338 to 795 of the family's 1533-position model. The record is from RNAcentral.